ACAUGCAAGUCGAGGGGCAGCAUAAUGGAUAGCAAUAUCUAUGGUGGCGACCGGCGCACGGGUGCGUAACGCGUAUGCAACCUACCUUUAACAGGGGGAUAACACUGAGAAAUUGGUACUAAUACCCCAUAAUAUCAUAGAAGGCAUCUUUUAUGGUUGAAAAUUCCGAUGGUUAGAGAUGGGCAUGCGUUGUAUUAGCUAGUUGGUGGGGUAACGGCUCACCAAGGCGACGAUACAUAGGGGGACUGAGAGGUUAACCCCCCACACUGGUACUGAGACACGGACCAGACUCCUACGGGAGGCAGCAGUGAGGAAUAUUGGUCAAUGGACGCAAGUCUGAACCAGCCAUGCCGCGUGCAGGAUGACGGCUCUAUGAGUUGUAAACUGCUUUUGUACGAGGGUAAACGCAGAUACGUGUAUCUGUCUGAAAGUAUCGUACGAAUAAGGAUCGGCUAACUCCGUGCCAGCAGCCGCGGUAAUACGGAGGAUUCAAGCGUUAUCCGGAUUUAUUGGGUUUAAAGGGUGCGUAGGCGGUUUGAUAAGUUAGAGGUGAAAUUUCGGGGCUCAACCCUGAACGUGCCUCUAAUACUGUUGAGCUAGAGAGUAGUUGCGGUAGGCGGAAUGUAUGGUGUAGCGGUGAAAUGCUUAGAGAUCAUACAGAACACCGAUUGCGAAGGCAGCUUACCAAACUAUAUCUGACGUUGAGGCACGAAAGCGUGGGGAGCAAACAGGAUUAGAUACCCUGGUAGUCCACGCAGUAAACGAUGAUAACUCGUUGUCGGCGAUACACAGUCGGUGACUAAGCGAAAGCGAUAAGUUAUCCACCUGGGGAGUACGUUCGCAAGAAUGAAACUCAAAGGAAUUGACGGGGGCCCGCACAAGCGGAGGAACAUGUGGUUUAAUUCGAUGAUACGCGAGGAACCUUACCCGGGCUUGAAAGUUAGCGACGAUUCUUGAAAGAGGAUUUCCCUU
RNAcentral lists this ribosomal RNA (972 nucleotides) under uncultured bacterium. RNAcentral describes it as "bacterial SSU rRNA". It matches the Rfam family "Bacterial small subunit ribosomal RNA", at positions 53 to 1019 of the family's 1533-position model. The record is from RNAcentral.